RNAcentral lists this ribosomal RNA (575 nucleotides) under uncultured rumen bacterium. RNAcentral's name for it is "bacterial SSU rRNA". It matches the Rfam family "Bacterial small subunit ribosomal RNA", at positions 347 to 916 of the family's 1533-position model. The record is from RNAcentral.
GGCAGCAGCUAAGAAUAUUCCGCAAUGGGGGAAACCCUGACGGAGCGACGCCGCGUGGAUGAUGAAGGCCGGAAGGUUGUAAAAUCCUUUUAUACGUGAGGAAUAAGUGGAGUGAGAGAAACGCUUCAUGGUGACUGUAGCGUAUGAAUAAGCAACGGCUAAUUACGUGCCAGCAGCCGCGGUAACACGUAAGUUGCGAGCGUUGUUCGGAAUUAUUGGGCGUAAAGGGCAUGUAGGCGGUAAUGCAAGUCUGGUGUGAAAGGCGGGAGCUCAACUCCCGGACUGCGUUGGAAACUGCAUUACUUGAGUGACUGAGGGGCAAUCAGAAUUCCUGGUGUAGGGGUGAAAUCUGUAGAUAUCAGGAAGAAUACCAAUGGCGAAGGCAGGUUGCCAGCAGAUGACUGACGCCGAGGUGCGAAGGUGCGGGGAGCAAACAGGAUUAGAUACCCUGGUAGUCCGCACAGUCAACUAUGUACACUGGAUGUCUGGUCAGAAGACUGGGUGUCGAAGCAAACGCGAUAAGUGUACCGCCUGGGGAGUAUGCCCGCAAGGGUGAAACUCAAAGGAAUUGACGG